GAAGAGUUAGUAUAUGCCAUAUUACCUGUCCUUGUCAAGGACAAAAAAUAGAACUUAAACCCUAUACUCUUCC
RNAcentral lists this transfer RNA (73 nucleotides) under Melanosuchus niger (black caiman). RNAcentral's name for it is "tRNA-Asp". The record is from RNAcentral. Lineage: Eukaryota; Metazoa; Chordata; Crocodylia; Alligatoridae.